This 348-nucleotide long non-coding RNA is filed under the name Setaria italica (foxtail millet). Its description in RNAcentral is "long non-coding RNA (SITA_LNC002514)". Lineage: Eukaryota; Viridiplantae; Streptophyta; Magnoliopsida; Poales; Poaceae. The record is from RNAcentral.
CUUGUUGGCUUGAAGCUUGUAGUAUUUGAUAGGAGUAGCGUCCACCAAUGUUCCAGAUGCUAGAAGAACUCUCGUGAAGAAUACCCAGGUGCUCCGUUCCUCCGCAGUCUCUGUAAUCGAGUCGGGAGGUCACGAUGCUAGAAGAAUUCUCAUGAGGAGGCUGUAUCGUGAACCCUCCCAACUUUGUCCAAGACCUCGGCAAGGAAGGUUGAGCGCAACUUUCUUGUACUGCACUUUUUUCUUCUUUAGCGUUGUAGCAUCUUAUCCUGGGUUGUCAUCUAUCCUGGAGCUGUUCACACACGCUUUGUGAUAUGUAAUGCUGGGAAUUUGAUUUUAGCUUAAUGAAAG